RNAcentral lists this ribosomal RNA (465 nucleotides) under uncultured Klebsiella sp. Its description in RNAcentral is "bacterial SSU rRNA". It matches the Rfam family "Bacterial small subunit ribosomal RNA", at positions 338 to 795 of the family's 1533-position model. Lineage: Bacteria; Pseudomonadati; Pseudomonadota; Gammaproteobacteria; Enterobacterales; Enterobacteriaceae. The record is from RNAcentral.
CCUACGGGUGGCUGCAGUGGGGAAUAUUGCACAAUGGGCGCAAGCCUGAUGCAGCCAUGCCGCGUGUGUGAAGAAGGCCUUCGGGUUGUAAAGCACUUUCAGCGGGGAGGAAGGCGGUGAGGUUAAUAACCUCAUCGAUUGACGUUACCCGCAGAAGAAGCACCGGCUAACUCCGUGCCAGCAGCCGCGGGAAUACGGAGGGUGCAAGCGUUAAUCGGAAUUACUGGGCGUAAAGCGCACGCAGGCGGUCUGUCAAGUCGGAUGUGAAAUCCCCGGGCUCAACCUGGGAACUGCAUUCGAAACUGGCAGGCUAGAGUCUUGUAGAGGGGGGUAGAAUUCCAGGUGUAGCGGUGAAAUGCGUAGAGAUCUGGAGGAAUACCGGUGGCGAAGGCGGCCCCCUGGACAAAGACUGACGCUCAGGUGCGAAAGCGUGGGGAGCAAACAGGAUUAGAUACCCGGGUAGUC